GCCCCCAUAGCUCAGUAGGACAGAGCGUUACCCUGACUCGGUAAAGGUCGGCAGUUCAAGUCUGCCUGGGGGUGCCA
This 77-nucleotide transfer RNA is filed under the name Chloroflexota bacterium. RNAcentral describes it as "Chloroflexi bacterium tRNA-Val". Lineage: Bacteria; Bacillati; Chloroflexota. The record is from RNAcentral.